This 219-nucleotide ribosomal RNA is filed under the name uncultured bacterium. Its description in RNAcentral is "partial 16S ribosomal RNA". It matches the Rfam family "Bacterial small subunit ribosomal RNA", at positions 524 to 741 of the family's 1533-position model. The record is from RNAcentral.
UACGUAGGGUGCAAGCGUUGUCCGGAAUUAUUGGGCGUAAAGAGCUCGUAGGCGGUUUGUUGCGUCGGCUGUGAAAACCUGAGGCUCAACCUCAGGCCUGCAGUCGAUACGAGCAGACUAGAGUGUUGCAGGGGAGACUGGAAUUCCUGGUGUAGCGGUGGAAUGCGCAGAUAUCAGGAGGAACACCGGUGGCGAAGGCGGGGUCUCUGGGCAGUAACU